RNAcentral lists this ribosomal RNA (495 nucleotides) under uncultured bacterium. Its description in RNAcentral is "partial 16S ribosomal RNA". It matches the Rfam family "Bacterial small subunit ribosomal RNA", at positions 28 to 507 of the family's 1533-position model. The record is from RNAcentral.
GACGAACGCUGGCGGCGUGCCUAAUACAUGCAAGUAGAACGCUGAAGGAGGAGCUUGCUCUUCUGGAUGAGUUGCGAACGGGUGAGUAACGCGUAGGUAACCUGCCUGGUAGCGGGGGAUAACUAUUGGAAACGAUAGCUAAUACCGCAUAACAGUAGAUGUUGCAUGACAUUUACUUAAAAGGUGCAAUUGCAUCACUACCAGAUGGACCUGCGUUGUAUUAGCUAGUUGGUGGGGUAACGGCUCACCAAGGCGACGAUACAUAGCCGACCUGAGAGGGUGAUCGGCCCCACUUGGACUGAGACACGGCCCAGACUCCUACGGGAGGCAGCAGUAGGGAAUCUUCGGCAAUGGACGGAAGUCUGACCGAGCAACGCCGCGUGAGUGAAGAAGGUUUUCGGAUCGUAAAGCUCUGUUGUAAGAGAAGAACGAGUGUGAGAGUGGAAAGUUCACACUGUGACGGUAUCUUACCAGAAAGGGACGGCUAACUACGUG